CAAGGUUGCAUACAGAAAAGACCCUCCCCUAACCCUUGACUGGUUGUAUUCUGACGUGCACAUUGAAAGCAGCUGAUGAUAAGGACAAGGUUAUGUGUUGGGAAGGGCCAUGAAAUAGAGGUAUAGAGGAGGAGCCAGCCAAGGCAGGCCGUCCAGAUUUGUAGCUGGACCAGAUUGGUUUGACAGUCGGGCAGUGAGAGAUGCAUGGACUGAUGCAAUGGGAAGAGGAAGAAUAUAUUUGAUGACUAAUAUUUUGAUUGAUGUAAAUGGAUGUUCAGUGUUUGACCAAAGAUGAAAGUGCACUCACUGUACGAGAAUUGUUAGAGAAGUGACGUAAAGUGCUGAAAGAUGGUCAUCAAUAAUAUUAUUCAUGUCGGCUACAGCCAUUUGCAGCUCUAGGAAGUUCCCAAUGCAGCAAAGGCAAACAUCAUGUGAGCAGGCAGCUCGAUGAAAACCACCCCAACAAUAGAGUAGUUUCGUGGGGGUGGGGAGCGUACAACUAUAGCUAGUUGGAUUGGGCUAUGGACAUGUUGGCGACAUGUAUAGUAUGGUGGUGUCCUUUUUUCUUUUUUUUUAGUUUUCUUGGUGAAGAGGGAGGCCAGUGAUUGAUUGCUCUGAUGCGCUUUAUGUUUAUGUUAUGUCCA
Diospyros lotus (date-plum) is the source of this 644-nucleotide long non-coding RNA. RefSeq lists it as uncharacterized. The transcript is spliced from 3 exons. The record is from RefSeq and is a predicted model, not a curated record. NCBI's taxonomy places the organism in Eukaryota, Viridiplantae, Streptophyta, Magnoliopsida, Ericales, Ebenaceae.